Molecule: long non-coding RNA, 2011 nt
Organism: Sebastes umbrosus (honeycomb rockfish)
Lineage: Eukaryota; Metazoa; Chordata; Actinopteri; Perciformes; Sebastidae
Exons: 3
Source: RefSeq, a predicted model, not a curated record
UGGAGAGUCCUCCUGGUCCUAUCCUCACUAAAACCUUUAUAGAAUCUAUGUGCUUUGUGUUAUUUAUAUCUGCUUUGGCACAGUUGUAGUCAAGGAGUUGCUGAAUGAAUUCAGUGGCAUCAUUACUAUAAUGGUUUUAUCCACUCUCUGAUCUAGAAAACAUUUUAGUGCUGGAUAUUUUCAUUUUGAGAAGCGCUGGUGUACAUCAGCAGCGCUCCCUUCCGCUGCACCGGAGGUUGUGGAUGUUGCUGUAAUCCUCAGGAUGCUGAGCAGAAUCCAUCAUGGGAUUUCACGCCUCCUUCUCUCUCUCCUCUCCUCACUCCCUCACUUCCUUGUUCCCUCGUCUCCUCUCUUUUCAUCACAGCUCCCCUGACCUUCCUACCCGGAGCGCUUCCCCCCUUCAUUUCCAUUGGAAAGCAGUCGUGAUGAGCUUCAGCCUGUUUUAGGGGGGGGGGGGGGGGGGGGGGGACAGGCUAAUCACUGAAACAAGUAAACAAGUGGAAAGCUCGCUGCUGCUACGGUUUAGUCGGAUACAGAACGGAUAUGACGUCAAGUUACUCACACUACGACGACUGCUGGAGUCUGAGCUGAAGGAGUUUCUGGUGAACCUGCAUCUAAUAUCGCCGGAAUCCGACCCGGUGGCACCGAUGACGAGCAUUAAGAAUAUAGAAAUAUCCAGUAUUCUAACUGAUGGUUUACUUAUAUAGGUCAUAUGGAGGCUUCCGUAUUAAACUGAGACUGUUUCAUAACCAGUUAAAAGUUCCUCACAGUAACUUUAAAGAAAGCAUCUGCUGCUUAUGAGUGAACAGCUCCCAGCGAAGACAAGAAUCUGCUCGUCUCAUCUCUGAAGCAUUUUAAAAGAAGUUCAAGCUCGGUGACUCGACGAGCAAGAAAGACACUUGUCGCAUUGCAUUGUGGGUUGAACGGCUCAGAGCAGCAACCUCUCUUAAAUAAGUCCACGACGGUGUACAUGAUGGACAACGCUGCAUCUCGUGCAUCUCACCUGCUCCUGCUUUUUUUCAAGGUCACCUCGCAACAAUUUCGAGCAUCUUCAUUACUUCCGUCGGCCCUCUUGUCGUUCCCAUAGCAACCCCGCUGAGCUGACAGAUGAGAGGCGCGGGAGUCGGCUUCCCACAUAGUCGGAAAAACACACACACACACACACACAUGCAGGCACACACAUUAAAACAAUGAGCGCAUAACUACAUCUGGGGAAGCGCGCUCUGCGUUGUUUUAAAAUAAACCCGGCAUCACAGGCGAGGUGUUGGAGGGAGAUUGUCGUACACAAAUAGGCCAUUAUGGCAAAAAGUGGAACACAAGGAGUCUCCUAUGAAAAGCGAGCAUUCUCUCUCUCUCUCCACUCCUGCCUCUCUCUCUCUCUCUCUCUCUCUCUCUCUCUUUGCUCUCUGUGUGUCUCUCUGCGGGCAGGCCGUGUGCGCCGCCAUGCUCGUUAUCAGAACAAACAGAGAUGAGGGUGGAAGAAUGGGGUACACGCCACGUACCAGAGAGGGGAGGAUGAAAGAGUACAAAACCAGAGCAAAUCAAACACCCGGCAUGAGGGGAAGCACCGGGGGAAUUGUUUCCAUCGGCGCGCACCUACUUCCAUAGGGAGCUUUACCAUUUUAGCGCAUUAAAGGCGUGCCACACCACAACACCAGAUUGUCAGCUCCUGAAAAAAAAUAAUUUAAUUCCAGUCCAUAUCAGAUGUGCAUUUCCCUCGAGGAUUUAAAAAGGGAAAAAAAAAAAGAGAGGGAGGCACUCCAAAGGCUGCAAUAGGCUUGUAAUGAAUAAGACAUUGCAUCAGAAUUGGAAAGACAGUGAAAUUUCCUUCCUGUCUGCUUGCUGGGAGACGAGGGAUGUAUCAUUACAGACUCUGUCUUUUUAUGUCCUUGGAAGUGUGAAUCCACAGUGAAACGAGGGGGGAGACAUUCCAAUAAAUCUAACAGGCGCAGCGAUGAGAAGAAGACAAGAGAAUCGGCACUAAAAAAUACAAAUAUGGUGUUUAGAUGAA